RNAcentral lists this ribosomal RNA (433 nucleotides) under uncultured bacterium. Its description in RNAcentral is "partial 16S ribosomal RNA". It matches the Rfam family "Bacterial small subunit ribosomal RNA", at positions 29 to 506 of the family's 1533-position model. The record is from RNAcentral.
AGCGAACGCUGGCGGCAGGCCUAACACAUGCAAGUCGAACGAACCUUUCGGGGUUAGUGGCGGACGGGUGAGUAACACGUGGGAACGUGCCUUUAGGUUCGGAAUAACUCAGGGAAACUUGUGCUAAUACCGAAUGUGCCCUUCGGGGGAAAGAUUUAUCGCCUUUAGAGCGGCCCGCGUCUGAUUAGCUAGUUGGUUGAGGUAAUGGCUCACCAAGGCGACGAUCAGUAGCUGGUCUGAGAGGAUGAUCAGCCACAUUGGGACUGAGACACGGCCCAAACUCCUACGGGAGGCAGCAGUGGGGAAUCUUGCGCAAUGGGCGAAAGCCUGACGCAGCCAUGCCGCGGGAAUGAUGAAGGUCUUAGGAUUGUAAAAUUCUUUCACCGGGGACGAUAAUGACGGUACCCGGAGAAGAAGCCCCGGCUAACUUCGU